RNAcentral lists this ribosomal RNA (466 nucleotides) under uncultured soil bacterium. RNAcentral describes it as "bacterial SSU rRNA". It matches the Rfam family "Bacterial small subunit ribosomal RNA", at positions 94 to 599 of the family's 1533-position model. The record is from RNAcentral.
AGUGGCGCACGGGUGAGUAACGCGUGGGUAUCUACCUUGGAGUUGGGAAUAACACCUCGAAAGGGGUGCUAAUACCCGAUACGGUCCUUUUCGGGAAAGAUGUGCUCCAAGAUGAGCCCGCGUACCAUUAGCUAGUUGGUAGGGUAACGGNCUACCAAGGCAAUGAUGGUUAGCUGGUCUGAGAGGAUGGCCAGCCACACUGGAACUGAGAUACGGUCCAGACUCCUACGGGAGGCAGCAGUGAGGAAUCUUGCGCAAUGGGGGCAANCCUAACGCAGCAACGCCGCGUGAGUGAUGAAGGCCUUCGGGUCGUAAAGCUCUGUCAGGCGGGAAGAAUGACGGUACCGCCAGAGGAAGCACCGGCUAACUCCGUGCCAGCAGCCGCGGUAAUACGGAGGGUGCUAGCGUUGUUCGGAAUUAUUGGGCGUAAAGAGCGUGUAGGCGGGCGAGUAAGUCAGAUGUGAAA